RNAcentral lists this ribosomal RNA (254 nucleotides) under uncultured bacterium. RNAcentral describes it as "partial 16S ribosomal RNA". It matches the Rfam family "Bacterial small subunit ribosomal RNA", at positions 524 to 776 of the family's 1533-position model. The record is from RNAcentral.
UACGGGGGGAGCAAGCGUUGUUCGGAUUUACUGGGCGUAAAGGGCGCGUAGGCGGCCAGCACAAGUCAGUUGUGAAAUCUCCGGGCUUAACUCGGAAAGGUCAACUGAUACUGUGCGGCUAGAGUGCAGAAGGGGCAACUGGAAUUCUCGGUGUAGCGGUGAAAUGCGUAGAUAUCGUUUGGAACGCCAAUGGUGAAAACAAGUAGCUGGGGAUGUGCCGACGCUGAGACACGAAAGCCAGGGGAGCGAACGGG